RNAcentral lists this ribosomal RNA (425 nucleotides) under uncultured bacterium. RNAcentral describes it as "partial 16S ribosomal RNA". It matches the Rfam family "Bacterial small subunit ribosomal RNA", at positions 354 to 796 of the family's 1533-position model. The record is from RNAcentral.
GUGAGGAAUUUUCCGCAAUGGGCGAAAGCCUGACGGAGCAAUGCCGCGUGAAGGAUGAAGGCCUAUGGGUUGUAAACUUCUUUUCUCAGAAAAGAAUUAUGACGGUAUCUGAGGAAUAAGCAUCGGCUAACUCUGUGCCAGCAGCCGCGGUAAGACAGAGGAUGCAAGCGUUAUCCGGAAUGAUUGGGCGUAAGCGUCUGUAGGUUGUUUAAAAAGUAUUCUGUCAAAGAUUAGGGCUUAACCCUAGAUAGGCAGAAUAAACUUUUAAGCUAGAGUUUGGUAGAGGCAGAGGGAAUUCCCGGUGGAGCGGUGAAAUGCGUAGAUAUCGGGAGGAACACCAAAGGCGAAGGCACUCUGCUGGGCCAAUACUAACACUGAGAGACGAAAGCGAGGGGAGCAAAUGGGAUUAGAAACCCCAGUAGUCC